Molecule: ribosomal RNA, 464 nt
Filed under: uncultured bacterium
Lineage: Bacteria
Description: partial 16S ribosomal RNA
Rfam family: Bacterial small subunit ribosomal RNA
Source: RNAcentral
AUGAACGCUGGCGGCGUGCUUCACCCAUGCCAGUCGAACGGAAAGGCUCCUGCUUGCAGGGGUACUCGAGUGGCGAACGGGUGAGUAACACGUGGGUGAUCUGCCCUGCACUUCGGGAUAAGCCUGUGAAACUGGGUCUAAUACCGGAUAGGACGAUGGUUUGGAUGCCAUUGUGGAAAGUUUUUCGGUGUGGGAUGAGCUCGCGGCCUAUCAGCUUGUUGGUGGGGUAAUGGCCUACCAAGGCGUCGACGGGUAGCCGGCCUGGGAGGGUGUACGGCGACAUUGGGACUGAGAUACGCCCAAGACUCCUACGGGAGGCAGCAGUGGGGAAUAUUGAACAAUGAGCGCAAGACUGAUGCAGCGACGCCGCGUGGGGGAUGACGGCCUUCGGGUUGUAAACUCCUUUCGCUAGGGACGAAGCGCAAGUGACGGUACCUGGAGAAGAAGCACCGGCUAACUACGUG